UCCUUAGUAAUAGGCUCCAUUAGAAAUAAAUAAUCCUCCAUAGUAAUACAAGGCUGAAUAAUAUUAAGCAUCGGUGUGUGAUUACAAAUAUUAGGAGCAAACAUAACAUCAGAAUAAUCCUUGGCAACUUUGCAAAGCUCCUUCUGGCUAGUAACAACCGUGCCCUACUUGUUAUGAAGCUUUAUCACCUUCUUAGUCUUUUUUCUUACGGUUGCCGACAUAUGAAAGAACUUAGUGUUCAUAUCCCCAUCUUUCAUCCAAUGCAUUUUAAGUCUUUGCUUCCAAAAAACUUCCUCCUCCUGUACAAGCAGUCGGGCAUGGCGCUCAAUCUCCUUUCGAAACUGAACUGAAUUCACACCGUUAGGUGAGCUCCUAAUUGAUUCAAGAAGGCGAGUGCACUGUUGGAUCUCCUCUUGAAAGUGAAUUUUUUUC
Molecule: long non-coding RNA, 432 nt
Filed under: Medicago truncatula (barrel medic)
Lineage: Eukaryota; Viridiplantae; Streptophyta; Magnoliopsida; Fabales; Fabaceae
Description: long non-coding RNA (MTRU_LNC005097)
Source: RNAcentral